This 460-nucleotide ribosomal RNA is filed under the name uncultured bacterium. Its description in RNAcentral is "partial 16S ribosomal RNA". It matches the Rfam family "Bacterial small subunit ribosomal RNA", at positions 338 to 795 of the family's 1533-position model. The record is from RNAcentral.
CCUACGGGAGACUGCAGUGAGGAAUAUUGGUCAAUGGACGAGAGUCUGAACCAGCCAAGUAGCGUGAAGGAUGACUGCCCUAUGGGUUGUAAACUUCUUUUAUAUGGGAAUAAAAUGUUCCACGUGUGGGAUUUUGUAUGUACCAUAUGAAUAAGGAUCGGCUAACUCCGUGCCAGCAGCCGCGGUAAUACGGAGGAUCCGAGCGUUAUCCGGAUUUAUUGGGUUUAAGGGGAGCGUAGGUGGAUUGUUAAGUCAGUUGUGAAAGUUUGCGGCUCAACCGUAAAAUUGCAGUUGAAACUGGCAGUCUUGAGUACAGUAGAGGUGGGCGGAAUUCGUGGUGUAGCGGUGAAAUGCUUAGAUAUCACGAAGAACUCCGAUUGCGAAGGCAGUUCACUGGACUGCAACUGACACUGAGGCUCGAAAGUGUGGGUAUCAAACAGGAUUAGAUACCCGAGUAGUC